GCGGGUUUGGUUACAAGCUGAGUCAGUAGGGCUGAGCCAACUCAACAAAGAAUGCAAGAUCUGGCCUCAGACAUGCAAUCCCAGGGAGGAGCAAAAGGAGGAGGAACAAAGAGGUGAGGCAGCAAAAGUGGUCUCCCAAAUGAGGAUGUGUUAUCAAGCUGGCCACCUGCAACAAUCCUUAUUGAGAGUGCUUACUUAACCAGCUGGAGGCACAAGUGAAUUUUAAUAGACUAUUCCACUAUUCUGUGAGACCAGCUGCUUCUGGGGGUUGGGUACGUGAUAAGACCAGCGAUUCUAAUGGGCUACAGCCCAUUAUCUAACUUGGACUCCUUGGUUAGAAGCAAUGUUGUACAAGAUACCAUGGCCAUUUUUAAGGCCUCUGAAAAGUCCUCAGACAGUGGUUCUGGCAUGGCAUGGCAGGCGAAGAAAA
Molecule: long non-coding RNA, 430 nt
Organism: Neofelis nebulosa (Clouded leopard)
Lineage: Eukaryota; Metazoa; Chordata; Mammalia; Carnivora; Felidae
Exons: 3
Source: RefSeq, a predicted model, not a curated record